UUGAUAAAGGGCAAACUUCCUAGUGCUUUAGCACCACCUAGUGUCUAUUUAUGCACGCCUAUGCAAACACGCAUGCCCGUUACUCCCGCCCUGCUGCCACAAGGAUGACCCACUCCAUUCAUCAGAAGCUCCUCAAGUCCUUGUACACCCCGGAUGACAUGAAGCAGUUCCUAAGCGCACGGAAUGGGACUCUUUUGGCUGCCAUCAGCGAACAUGUGUCAGUGGAAGUUGGUCAGCUUUUUCAGCCCUUGUGUCAGCCUUCUAGGCCACCUCCUGGAUUUGUGACCCCAGAUAAUCCACCUGCAGUGCGGCCACCUCCUGGAAUUCCCACUCCAGUUGUCUUACCUGCAGUGCGAUCACCUCCUGGGCUUUCUCAGCGUGGUGCAACACCUGCAGUGAAGCCGACCCCUGGGUUCGCUGUACCUGGUGCAACACCUGCAGUGAAGCCGACCCCUUGGGUUCGCUGUACCUGGUGCAACACCUGCAGUGAAGCCGACCCCUGGGUUCGCUGUACCUGGUGCAACACCUGCAGUGAAGCCGACCCCUGGGUUCGCUGUACCUGGUGCAACACCUGCAGUGCAACCACCUCCUUGGCUUUCUGACCUGCAGUUCGAACAGCUCCUGGGUUUUCUGUCACAGAUGCUUCAUCUUCAGUGUGACCACCUCCUCUUCUUUCCCAGCUGUUACGUCAGCAGGGCUUUCAGUUUGAUCCCACGUCUGCAGUAAGGCCACCUCUUGGAAUUUCUACCCCAAACGCCUCACCCGCAGUGCAACCACCUCCUGGGUUUCCCAUCCCAGGUAAUCCACCUGCAGUGCGGACACCUCCUGGGUUUCCCAUCCCAGAUGGUUCACAGUCUGUGAGACCACCUCCUCGUCUCUCUGCAGGAGACGUUCCGCUGAUGUUGGGUCCACGUGCUGAGGUUUACCUCUUUGACGUCUCAGCUGGUCUGCAGCCCCCUUCACGUCCUCUUACUGAUCUCGCGCACUCUAAAGUACGCUCACAAGUUCCAGGAGGGGAAGUGGUAGAUGAGGCUGAAGCCUUUGACAGAGUCAAUCACAUUUGUGUCCACAACAAAUCACAGACAAUCGCAUCUAAUGAUCCAAAGGAUGUGCAGAUAGAAGCAGAUCCACUAUCUGGGAGAGUCAAGAUCAGAAGAAGGGGAGUGAAAGGUUUUCUGCAAAAAAAUAAAGAAGGCAUUGACAUGCUGUGCAACCACCAGUGAUGCAGAUGCACAGGAGAUUGAGCUCUCCAGAAAUCACUAAAACAUAUUCAAAAUAUCUUAAUUGAAUAUUCAUCAGAUAUGAUUAUUAUCAAGUUCAAGUUCAAUUUAUUUCUUUGUCCCAAAUGGGCAAUUUGAUUGCAGACAUAGAUCACAUACCACACAACAAUAGACACAACACACUACAAUACAGACAGAUAUGCAC
Long non-coding RNA from Alosa alosa (allis shad), 1425 nucleotides. RefSeq lists it as uncharacterized. The record is from RefSeq and is a predicted model, not a curated record. The transcript is spliced from 3 exons. NCBI's taxonomy places the organism in Eukaryota, Metazoa, Chordata, Actinopteri, Clupeiformes, Clupeidae.